GGUAGCAAUACUUCUAGUGGCGACCGGGUGCGUAACACGUAGCUGACCUACCCCGGCGCGGGGGACAACAGGCCGAAAGGUCUGCUAAUACCGCAUAGGCCACAGGGCGUUAAAGAACCUGUGGGAAACUUCCGGGGCGCCGGGUGGGGGCUGCGGCCCAUCAGGUAGUUGGUAGGGUAGUGGCCUACCAAGCCGACGACGGGUAGGGGGCCUGAGAGGGUGGUCCCCCACACUGGGACUGACAGACGGCCCAGACUCCUACGGGAGGCAGCAGUAAGGGAUAUUGCGCAAUGGGCGAAAGCCUGACGCAGCAACGCCGCGUGGAGGAUGACGGCCUUCGGG
This 342-nucleotide ribosomal RNA is filed under the name uncultured bacterium. RNAcentral's name for it is "bacterial SSU rRNA". It matches the Rfam family "Bacterial small subunit ribosomal RNA", at positions 75 to 422 of the family's 1533-position model. The record is from RNAcentral.